RNAcentral lists this ribosomal RNA (809 nucleotides) under Periconia delonicis. RNAcentral's name for it is "SSU rRNA". It matches the Rfam family "Eukaryotic small subunit ribosomal RNA", at positions 280 to 1094 of the family's 1831-position model. The record is from RNAcentral. Lineage: Eukaryota; Fungi; Ascomycota; Dothideomycetes; Pleosporales; Periconiaceae.
UGCGCCGGCGACGGUUCAUUCAAAUUUCUGCCCUAUCAACUUUCGAUGGUAAGGUAUGGCUUACCAUGGUUUCAACGGGUAACCGGGGAAUUAGGGUUCGAUUCCGGAGAGGGAGCCUGAGAAACGGCUACCACAUCCAAGGAAGGCAGCAGGCGCGCAAAUUACCCAAUCCCAAUACGGGGAGGUAGUGACAAUAAAUACUGAUACAGGGCUCUUUAGGGUCUUGUAAUUGGAAUGAGUACAAUUUAAACCUCUUAACGAGGAACAAUUGGAGGGCAAGUCUGGUGCCAGCAGCCGCGGUAAUUCCAGCUCCAAUAGCGUAUAUUAAAGUUGUUGCAGUUAAAAAGCUCGUAGUUGAACCUUUGGCCUGGCUGGCGGGUCCGCCUCACCGCGUGCACUCGUCCGGCCGGGCCUUUUCUUCUGGAGAACCGCAUGCCCUUCACUGGGUGUGUUGGGGACCAGGACUUUUACUUUGAAUAAAUCAGAGUGUUCAAAGCAGGCAUUUGCUCGAAUACGUUAGCAUGGAAUAAUAGAAUAGGACGUGCGGUCUUAUUUUGUUGGUUUCUAAGACCGCCGUAAUGAUUAAUAGGGACAGUCGGGGGCAUCAGUAUUCAAUUGUCAGAGGUGAAAUUCUUGGAUUUAUUGAAGACUAACUACUGCGAAAGCAUUUGCCAAGGAUGUUUUCAUUAAUCAGUGAACGAAAGUUAGGGGAUCGAAGACGAUCAGAUACCGUCGUAGUCUUAACCAUAAACUAUGCCGACUAGGGAUCGGGCGGUGUUAUUAUUUUGACUCGCUCGGCACCUUACGAG